AAGUCGUAACAAGGUUUCCGUAGGUGAACCUGCGGAAGGAUCAUUACAGAGAAUAUCGCCCUCACGGGUGACUCUCCAACCCUAUGUUAUUAUACCUUCGUUGCUUUGGCGAGCCGCCCCGGCCACCGGCUCACGCUGGUGAGUGCUCGCCAGAGGACCCCAAACCCUGAAUAUUAGUGUCGUCUGAGUACUAUACAAUAGUUAAAAAC
RNAcentral lists this unclassified non-coding RNA (209 nucleotides) under plant metagenome. RNAcentral describes it as "partial contains small subunit ribosomal RNA and internal transcribed spacer 1". The stretch from base 1 to 46 matches the Rfam family "Eukaryotic small subunit ribosomal RNA", at positions 1786 to 1831 of the family's 1831-position model. The record is from RNAcentral.